UGCCACCCCACUUGCCUGCAUCAAUAUGCAACAGUAUAUUUGCAGAGAGUUUCGCAGAAAAAUUCUAUUGGAGGAUGUUCUGUAGGGCAAUGCCUCUAAUCUUUGCCUAUUUUUGUUCUGUUUUUCACGGGAAGUCACCCACUGAGUGAAAAUCGGUAUACUUGUCGUUGUGGAAGGAGCUGCAGCAGAUGACCCAAUGCCAGUUGACAGUGUGGACGUUGGCCUUCCUUGUCGUUGUGGAUGGAGCUGCAGCAGAUGACCCAAUGCCAGCUGACAAUGUGGACGUUGCCCUUGUGAUAGAAGAGCAGGUGAUCAUACAUGAGCUUCACAAUGUUCCAAAUGCCUUUGCCACUUUGAUUGGGCUUCUUAAUUAUCUGAACAUGGAUUACCCAAAAUGUUUGAGGAAUACUUUUGAGGUAGUUCAGAAAAUAUUGUUGAAGAUUGGUGCAGAAAACUGUACAGCAAAAGUACAUGGGCUGAAGAACCGUCUUCUUUGUUAAGACAUCUAAUUGGUGUGUUUUUGUUUUACUGGCAAUAGUUGAGUUAAUUCCUCGGACAACGAUGCUGUUAUUUGCCUAAAUCUUACAAAUCUCAGUUUUGGGAAGACUUAAGUUAUCCUAUUUUUACGUGUGACCUUCAGUCUACAAACUACAACUGUCUUUUGUUAGAGACCAUUGAUUUGCUAUCAUCUCUUCCCAUUAACUACAGUGCAUUCUGAAAAUGUUUACAGCAUGUUAUAAUUUUUCACACUCAACACCAACUUGGCUUAGAAACCAUUCUGAAGGUUGUCUUUGCUCAGUUGGAUUUUUUUUUUUUACCGUUCCAUAAAACCGUGUUUCAGUGGUACCAUUUACAAAUGUGUAUGGGUUUAUUGGACAGUAGAAUCAUUUAUUUAUUUUUUUGACAAAAUAUUUCUCAUUUGAAAACAAAAUUCUUAGCUGAUAUUGAUUAAAAGACCAAUUAGUGACUGCAGAAUUUGGCUACUCGUUUAAAUGUACCUGAAGACAUGCAUCUAAAAAUAUACAUUGUUAAAAAAAAAUACUGAUGACAAUCAAAAUGCAUUCUAGGGAACAAUACAUUGUUGCAAAUGUAUUUGUUUGUUAAUACAUAGAUUAAUAAAUGUUCUGAAAUACACGAUAGGACUAUUUUGUUGUCAUUACAAGCUAGAUGGAAUUAACUGAUUUCAAUGUACUCUUGAUGGUAAAUCAAUUAUUGUAAAUAUAAAGUCAUUUUGAAAUGGAGAUAAGCUUUACUAAGUCUGAACAUCGUUGAACUGGGUUAUAUUAUGUCGACAUGUUUAAUUAGUCAGUCAUUUUGUUGCGUUUGAAUAGUGGUUCUCAACUUGCAGCCUGUGGCAAGCUUGUAUGUUAUGUCAUUAAUAGUAUAGUUAUUUAUUUGUGUGGGCUGCUUGACUUGCUCGUAGCCACAGUGUAGCACCACCAGCCAAACAGGUUGAGCACUCUGUGUUACAAUAACUCAAUAUGAAAUAGGCUUGACUUAAGUUAACUCUUUUAAAUGUGUCUUUAGAUCAGAUAACUCACACUUUAAUGUUGUUUCAACUUGUUAUUUCCAGUCAUCUAGUUGCGUGGCCUUUUUCAAGCUCAGAGCACUUAACAUGUCACGUUAUCCUUGCUUAGACCAUUUUGUUAUGAAAGCUGUAUUACUAGUUACAAUAACUUAAUUGAAAGUUGACUUAACAAAAAUGUGAAAUUAAUUCAACUAAAAAUGGUCGGUUAUACUGACAUGAUGUGGACUUAAAUGUUUUUUAUUCGUCAACAAUAAAUGUUGAGUUAAUAAAUGUUUAAGUUGAUUCAAAUGAGAAUAGUAAGUUACACUGAAAAAUGAAGCAGUGGACUUAACUGUCUUUUAUUUGUCAACAAUAAUGUAGCUUUAGUUAUUAGAACUCCACAUUUAUUGUUAACAUAACAAAGGUUUAAGUUGAUUCAAAUAAUAUUAAAUUAAGAAUUAACAAAUGUCAAAUUAACCGUCUAUUGUUAGUCAAAAUAAAUGUAUUAAAAGCUAGGAUAACGUGAAAUGUAAAGUAAACUGAGCUUGAAAAGGGCUACGCAACUAGAUCACUGGAAAUAAUAAGUUGAAACAAAUCAUUUUUUGUGUAUUAGCCCAUACAAACGUAUUGAAUAACAGAUUCACUACAUGGAACAACAGAUAGUCCCCCCCCAAAAAAAAAAUCUAAAGGAAGUUUGUUCCGAAGUGUCUGUUCUAUAUCUGAGAGAUCAGGAAACACGUUUUUUUUUUUACAUGCAACAGUUUGUGACAACUAUCGGUAGAGUAGAAAAUGCGAUGGAAACAAAUUGAACUUCAGGUUUUUAUUCUAUAGGAAGCAGACCCGUCUUCCAGGGCAGGUGGGGUUGAGCCCCACCUGUUUUGAGCCCCACCUGUGUAGCAAAUCUUUUUUAUAAAAAAUGGUUGCCUGUUUUGCAUGUUGUUUCAGCAUUAAUAUGUGUCACAUAUCAGUUUGCAAACAAUGUAAUUUUUUACAUAAUUGAGUUAAUAAAGCAGCAUACAAACAGUC
Molecule: long non-coding RNA, 2533 nt
Filed under: Salmo salar (Atlantic salmon)
Lineage: Eukaryota; Metazoa; Chordata; Actinopteri; Salmoniformes; Salmonidae
Description: lncRNA (ENSSSAG00000096797.1)
Source: RNAcentral